This 796-nucleotide ribosomal RNA is filed under the name uncultured bacterium. Its description in RNAcentral is "bacterial SSU rRNA". It matches the Rfam family "Bacterial small subunit ribosomal RNA", at positions 547 to 1331 of the family's 1533-position model. The record is from RNAcentral.
GGAAUCACUGGGCUUAAAGCGCGUGUAGGCGGGUCGUUAAGUGUCCGCGUGAAAUCCCACGGCUCAACCGUGGAACUGCCGGGCAUACUGGCGGCCUUGAGGCACCCAGGGGCGAGCGGAACAAAUGGUGGAGCGGUGAAAUGCGUAGAUAUCAUUUGGAACGCCGACGGUGAAAACAGCUCGCUGGGGGUGUCCUGACGCUGAGACGCGAAAGCCAGGGGAGCGAACGGGAUUAGAUACCCCGGUAGUCCUGGCCCUAAACGAUGUCCACUAGGUCGCGGCGGUUUUGACGCCGUCGCGGCCGGAGCAAAAGUGUGAAGUGGACCGCCUGGGAAGUACGGUCGCAAGGCUACAACUCAAAGGAAUUGACGGGGGCUCACACAAGCGGUGGAGCAUGUGGUUUAAUUCGAAGCAACGCGCGGAACCUUACCUGGGCUGGACAUGCCCGGAUUACCCUCGUGAAAGCGAGGUACACGCCCGCAAGGGCGCGGAACGGGUACAGGUGCUGCAUGGCUGUCGUCAGCUCGUGUCGUGAGAUGUCGGGUUAAGUCCCUUAACGAGCGAAACCUUUGCCCUCAGUUACCAGCGGGUGAUGCCGGGGACUCUGAGGGGACUGCCGGUGUCAAACCGGAGGAAGGUGGAGAUGACGUCAAGUCCUCAUGGCCUUUAUGCCCAGGGCCACACACGUGCUACAAUGGGGCGGACAGAGCGAGCCUAACCCGCGAGGGCAUGGAAAUCGCACAAAUCGCCCCUCAGUUCAGAUCGGAGGCUGCAACCCGCCUCCGUGAAGCUGGAA